Molecule: ribosomal RNA, 253 nt
Filed under: uncultured prokaryote
Description: partial 16S ribosomal RNA
Rfam family: Bacterial small subunit ribosomal RNA
Source: RNAcentral
ACGUAGGAGGCGAGCGUUGUCCGGAAUUACUGGGCGUAAAGCGCGCGUAGGCGGUCUGUUGCGUAGGCGGUAAAAGCCCCCGGCUCACCCGGGGGAGGUCCGUCUAAACGAGCAGACUCGAGGGCGGUAGGGGCCGGUGGAACGCCCGGAGUAGCGGUGAAAUGCGUUGAGAUCGGGCAGAACACCAGUGGCGAAGGCGGCCGGCUGGGCCGUACCUGACGCUGAGGCGCGACAGCAUGGGGAGCAAACAGGA